Molecule: ribosomal RNA, 432 nt
Filed under: uncultured bacterium
Lineage: Bacteria
Description: bacterial SSU rRNA
Rfam family: Bacterial small subunit ribosomal RNA
Source: RNAcentral
CCUACGGGGGGCAGCAGUGAGGAAUAUUGGACAAUGGGCGCAAGCCUGAUCCAGCCAUGCCGCGUGCAGGAUGACGGUCCUAUGGAUUGUAAACUGCUUUUGUACAGGAAGAAACACUCCCUCGUGAGGGAGCUUGACGGUACUGUAAGAAUAAGGAUCGGCUAACUCCGUGCCAGCAGCCGCGGUAAUACGGAGGAUCCAAGCGUUAUCCGGAAUCAUUGGGUUUAAAGGGUCCGUAGGCGGUUUAAUAAGUCAGUGGUGAAAGCCCAUCGCUCAACGGUGGAACGGCCAUUGAUACUGUUAAACUUGAAUUAUUAGGAAGUAACUAGAAUAUGUAGUGUAGCGGUGAAAUGCUUAGAGAUUACAUGGAAUACCAAUUGCGAAGGCAGGUUACUACUAAUGGAUUGACGCUGAUGGACGAAAGCGUGGGUA